Molecule: ribosomal RNA, 216 nt
Filed under: Ochromonas sp. CCMP1393
Lineage: Eukaryota; Chrysophyceae; Chromulinales; Chromulinaceae
Description: partial Bacterial large subunit ribosomal RNA
Rfam family: Bacterial large subunit ribosomal RNA
Source: RNAcentral
GCCAAUCAAACACCGUGAUAGCUGGUUCUCCCCGAAAUGCAUUUAGGUGCAGCGUUGCGUGGUUCUUGUUGGAGGUAGAGCACUGGAUGGUCUAGGGGGCUUAUCGGCUUACCGAAAUCAGCCAAACUCCGAAUGCCGGUAAGUGAGAGCGUGGCAGUGAGACUGCGGGGGAUAAGCUUCGUAGUCGAGAGGGAAACAGCCCAGAACACCGACUAA